GUUGAACGCUGGCGGCGUGCCUAAUACAUGCAAGUCGAGCGGACACAGGCGUACCGUUGCCCUCUGAUGUUGGCCGCGGACGGGUUACUAACACGUGUACAACCUACCUAUAAGUCUCGGAGAACUACGUUAAACCGUAGCUCAUACCGGCUAAUAUUUUGAACCGGAUGGUUCAAGAGUUAAAGCCGGUGUUGCUGUCGCUUGUAGAUUGAUCCGCGCUUCAUUAGCUAGUUGGUAAGGUAACGGCUUACCAAGGCAACGAUGCGUAGCCGGCCUGAGAGGGUGAUCAGCCACACUGGGACUGAGACACGGUCCAGACUCCUACGGGAGGCAGCAGUAGGGAAUCUUGGGCAAUGGGCGCAAGCCUGACGCAGCAAUGCCGCGUGAGGGAUGAAGGUCUUCGGAUCGUAAAACGCUGUUGUAAGGAACGAACAGAUGUGUAAGAAAAUAGGCGCGUCUUGACGGUACCGAAUGAGAAAGCACCGGCUAACUACGUG
Molecule: ribosomal RNA, 497 nt
Filed under: uncultured bacterium
Lineage: Bacteria
Description: partial 16S ribosomal RNA
Rfam family: Bacterial small subunit ribosomal RNA
Source: RNAcentral